GGCCAGGUCACUCAGCUCCAUGUCGCCGAAGGCCUCCCAGGGACAGACCACCGUGAUGUCGGUGCCCAGACCUUCCAUGCCGGGGAUGUCGUCUCCGAAUCUGCGUGGACACACGGGCGUCACGUGACAGGAGGGACUGGUGUACUUCACAAAAUAGAUGGCAUCAUGAGGAAACCACAUCUCAAGACAUCAGCCAGGAAGUUAAAGCUUGAGCGCAAAUGGGUCUUCCAAAUGACCCAAAGCAUACUGCCAAAGUUGUUUUGGAGUGGCCACAGCAAAGCCCUGAUGUCAAUCCUAUCGAAAAUGUAUGAGCAGACCUGACAAGGCAUGUGGGAGCAAGGCGGGCUACAAACUUGGUUCGUUUAAACCAGUUCUGCCAGGAGGAACGGGCCGAGAGUAUUGUGAGACGCUUGUGGAAGGAGAUGCAAAACGCUUGACCCAACUUUAAAGGUUUAACGGUAGUGGUACCAAAUACUAAUGAAAUGUAUGCAAACUUCUGACUUUGUAGAAAGUCAUGAAAAAUCCUUAUCUCACUAUUCUGGCAUUUAGCAAAUAAAAAUAAUUUUGCUGAACUAGUUUUUCUGAUUUAAUGUCAAACAGUGACGGGGGAGGGGGGGGAAGCAUAUUGUAUGUCUUUUUAUAUACUUUAACUUUUGGGUUCAAUGUUUUUAGAACAUUGUUUUUUUUAUUUAAUGACCUAAACGGUUAUUUUAAUUACCGUAAGCACCCUUAAGAAAUACACUGCAAAAAAACAACUACAGUAACAUCUAAUUAAGAUAAACUAUGUUACGCUUGUUCUUUGUCUGCCAAUAUAAAGUAUUUCUUUUAACCAUCCAGUUUAAGCUUUUGAAGCUUCCCCCCCCCCCCCCUAAAAAUCCUAAUGCGCUCUUAUUGCAAUUGAGAUUUGUAUUCCUGAUUAUUUACUGAUUUGCAAUGUGACGAAUUCUUUGCUUACGAUGUCUAAUUUGCGCAUCACGUUGAAGACAAAAAUGCGACCUUUAUUUACUUUAAAUGUCGGUCUGCGAGAUGCACUGGAGUCCACGUUUAACACUAAAAUAGAUGUUGACUGAAAGCCGUGUUAGGCUUGCUAUUUGUGUCUGCGCUGCGUUAGAAGAGAUCAGGGCGGAGAGGGAUGAGUGAAAAGUGCGGCCUAAUUGAGAGUCAUCCCAAAAAAAAAAAGCUGAGCUUUGACCUGCGUUACAUCACCACCUCCUCUCACUCGCUGAACUCCGAAACCUCAAGUGUCAGCCUGAUCUGUGCACGCAAGUCUCAAAUACACGCAAGCGAAAUCAAAUACGUGUGACGAUCGUGACCGGAAAAGUGUUGACUCGGCAACGAGCUACAAUGUGGAAGCUGUAUCUGAAUGGAGAUGAAAAAUAAUAAUGGAAACAAGGCCAUAUGACCAUACAUUCGUGGGGAAAACAAAAUGAAUUUAAAAUCCUUCCAAAUGUCUCAACUUUGAAAUCUAAUAUUACAUAUUAUAUGACAAUAGUGUUGUCAUUUUUAUGAUUUACUGCAGAAGGCCUUAUAUCACCUUCCAGUGAAAAUCUCCAAAUUCUCGUUUUCCUAAAAUGUCUUCUGCUCAAAAGGGAAAAGUUACAAAAGUUGUGCAUGAAUGCUUUUCGUACGACGACGACAGUAUUUGACUUUGAAAAAUAUUCAAACAAAUCUGUAUGUACAUGAUGCAAAAUUCUUUUUUUUCUUUUUUUAACCUUCACCUGAAGCUAUCCAUCCAUCCACGUAGGAGAGGUU
Phyllopteryx taeniolatus (common seadragon) is the source of this 1752-nucleotide long non-coding RNA. RefSeq lists it as uncharacterized. The transcript has 2 exons. The record is from RefSeq and is a predicted model, not a curated record. Lineage: Eukaryota; Metazoa; Chordata; Actinopteri; Syngnathiformes; Syngnathidae.